Long non-coding RNA from Telopea speciosissima, 105 nucleotides. RefSeq lists it as uncharacterized. The record is from RefSeq and is a predicted model, not a curated record. The transcript has 3 exons. Lineage: Eukaryota; Viridiplantae; Streptophyta; Magnoliopsida; Proteales; Proteaceae.
UUAGGUAUUGAAGAGAUAGCAGAGGGUUGUGUGUUAAGCACAGGAAACGCCGAGGGGAGUAGAAGGUGUAAACCGUUGGGAAGCGGCUCUUCUUGGUAACGAAUC